This 301-nucleotide ribosomal RNA is filed under the name uncultured bacterium. RNAcentral's name for it is "partial 16S ribosomal RNA". It matches the Rfam family "Bacterial small subunit ribosomal RNA", at positions 509 to 809 of the family's 1533-position model. The record is from RNAcentral.
CAGCAGCCGCGGUAAAACGUAGGUCCCGAGCGUUGUCCGGAUUUAUUGGGCGUAAAGCGCGCGCAGGCGGAUCAGUCAGUCUGUCUUAAAAGUUCGGGGCUUAACCCCGUGAGGGGAUGGAAACUGCUGAUCUAGAGUAUCGGAGAGGAAAGUGGAAUUCCUAGUGUAGCGGUGAAAUGCGUAGAUAUUAGGAAGAACACCAGUGGCGAAGGCGACUUUCUGGACGAAAACUGACGCUGAGGCGCGAAAGCCAGGGGAGCGAACGGGAUUAGAUACCCGUGUAGUCCCUGUCUCUUAUACA